This is a long non-coding RNA of Triticum aestivum (bread wheat), 2822 nucleotides long. RefSeq lists it as uncharacterized. The transcript is spliced from 8 exons. Lineage: Eukaryota; Viridiplantae; Streptophyta; Magnoliopsida; Poales; Poaceae. The record is from RefSeq and is a predicted model, not a curated record.
CCCCCAAGAAAACCACCCCGCAGGAGGAACGUCGUUCUUCUCGAUCCCCUCCCGUCGCCGCCGCCCUCCUCUCGAUCCCCUCCCGUCGCCGCCGCCCUCCUCUCGAUCCCCUCCCGUCGCCGCCUCCGUCCUCUCGAUCCCCUCGAGUAAGCAGCGCCGCCGUUGGCUCGCGAUCUCCUCGAUUAAACGCCGCCGCCGCCGUUUCUCGAUGCCCUCGAGAUCGCUGCGCCGCCAUCGUCUCUCCAUCCCCUCGAGAUCCCAGAUCCCACACCGCCACCGAGCGUAGCACCGACCACGAUCUCCCCACUGGCUGCCUCGGCGCCGUACGGCCGCGCGCCAGGAGUCCAACUUCAAGAAGGAACAUCGGCCGGGGCUGCAGCGCGCACGCCAAGUUCUACGCUCGCUGGUCUGUACGCGAAGGGGUCAGGCGGGAGAUACAGAAGCCAGCAGAUCGAGGGAGCCGGCAAUUGCGUUCUCAAGUCGUAAGGGAGGGCAAUAAUUUUCAGUGAGGCUGCGGACGGGAUGAACCAAACUCCUGCACCCACUAUGCAGGCAAGUAAUCUCUUACCCUUAAAUUCCCUGCAUUGUUUUACAGUUCAUUAAAUCCAUUAUCCAAGAAAACAAUUAUUUAUGUUUCUAUAUCAAGAAUAAUAUUCUCAACCGGAUUAUGAGCAAAAAGAAGGGAAGGUGAUCAGGACUGCAUCUUCAAGCGGCACCACAAAAUCCUUGCAUUAGGUCUAUGUUUAAUGCAUCAGAGUCGAACCUUAGACAAUAAGCAAUAGUGAAUUUUUUUGUUUGCCAAUGAAAUCAGAUGAUGUUUCUCACGAAGAUGGUACACAUAGUGUGUUGUCUGUUGUUUCUUCAUAACACAUGCUAAAUAUCGGAUUAUCUUCAUUGUAUAGCUAAUCCUUCUGCCCUCUGCAUUAGGCGAAGGCAUAAGCCUAGAUUCAGAAUAUAUUAUUAUAUGUUGGACAUUUUAGUAUUUACCAUCUUCCUAGAUUCUGCUAUUAUUGUUGACUGUAUAAUCGUUUCUUAAUCAGAAUUAAGAAAUCUUUCUGACCAAAAUAAUUAAGCAUGUAUGAAGUACUCCAGACUAGCGAUUUUUAUAUUUAAAGAAAACCGUAUGAAAAUUUUCAUGUAACUGUUACCGUAUAACUAAUCUUCAUUUCUAAUUUUCAUGUAACUGUUUCCUUUCAAAAUAUAAGGAGAAAUUUUCAGCUAGGACAAACGUAAGUGUAGUUUUACAUGAUACAAAAGGAAAUUAUUGUGUGCCAAGUAUAUACAUGUUUAGCAUUUUGUACAUCGAAUUGGGCACACACAUAAUUAUUUCUGGUAACUUUUAUAUGCAAGGGAUAUAUGAGGUCACCGAGGAGAUCCUUACUGCAAUCGCAUGCCUCAACGCCCAAUGGUCCUAUAAUCGAGGAUGUCAGGAAUGUGGCUACGCUCUACGACAGUGAUGUAAGGGAGAAGUGGCAACACAAAUGAGUUGGUAGGAGAGUUCAAGAAUUUGUUACUCCCAUUGCAACGCACGGGCAUGUCAGAGAAAAUGUUCGAGCUCUCCUAGCGCGUCCACUUUCUUCCGUGGCCAGCAGCAGCGACAAAAAAUCUGGGCACUUAGGGACACCUCACCACUGGAUGAAACUCACAACGACCGGAAUCUACAUCAUCAGUGUGUCACGGCGUCCCUCCUCUAGCUCACUCAUGAUCUUCGCACGUGACCUGCGGUGAGGACCAGUUUCUUAGGGGACAUAGUUGAAGAGCAGCAUUGAUUGGUAAGCCUCGUAUGGUAUUACUUGCAUAAUAAAGAUUGAAAUUUAUCAGUUCGUUUCCUAUUUUUUCUCCGUUUUACUAUCUUUAUUUGCAAAGUUAAAUAAGUAUGUAUGUUUUAGGCCUAUAAUUUACUAACUAUUUCAAUCUCUCUUGUGGAUCUAUGGUGAGGUGCGUGGUGACCUGUGGCGCGUGAGGGCAUCUGGAUGUUGGUAGACGCACUAAGUUGCGGCGGCCACCAACUGCAGCAGCUGCACUACAGGGCGGCGGGCGGCAGUAGCAAGAUGAGGCAGCGACCAGCAGCAGCUGCACAACGGGGCGGCAUUAGCGAGUAGCAGCAGUAAGGCAAGGCAGUGGUGAGCAGCGGAACAACCAUGCAAACUGCAAGAAGAAUGAAGCAGUGGUAGCAACAUAUGGUGAAUCAUCAGAUACCCAUGAGAUGAAGUACCAUGCUAUCUUUUAGUCAGAUAAGUUGAUGAUAUGUGCCAAAUUAUACAUGAUAGGCUCCUUAUUUCAAAAGGAUUAAAUGAGUCUAGAUGGUCAUGGCUUGUCGUCCGUCUUGAAGCGGAUUCAGAGCCCGGUAGGAUCGCACACCGUAUCGCUUGGACAUCGGAAGAAGAUGAUGCAGACAAGCGUUCGGUCGAAAAACUUAAAUUAUUCCAUCGAUAGAAUAACAUGAAGAACAAGUACUGGGAUAACAUGGUUGUUACUACAAUAGUAAAAUGCCAAGUCACGGGAGGAGAGAUGCCCAGCAUGUAUGAUGGACAUGGUGGCUCGGAGGUGAGGUUAUCUUCUCUUGAAAAUCUUGACCCACAAAAGAAAUUAACCUUGACGCCGUGGGAACCAGGAAAGCGUACAUCACGAAUGGCCCCACAAUUUGGUGGUGUUUGUGCGUUGUGCGGUCAAACCUUUCUACCAGCUCCAUGGCGACGCAACAGUAUCACCUUCUCAGGGAGAUGAGAUGAUGGGAUGUGGCCGCGUCGUGCUACCUGUUGUUGUUGUGCUAGCUUUGUUGUGUGUAUGUGUGUGUAAGAGAGAGAGAGAGAGAGAGAGAG